CUUAAGCUACUUUCAACAAAAGUUGGUAAUUAUAAAGCUACUUCCUCACUUUCCUCUCUCUUACCUUAGCAAUAAAGCCAUGAAGAAGAUCCCAUGCCUCAUUGUAUUAAGCUCAACCUGGUCUAUUGUCUGAAUAACAGAGCUCUCUUCCAAUCUCUUGUCAUACAUAAAAAAGAAGUGGUGUAUUUGUUCUGUUCUAUCUAUGGCAUAUAUCCCACCACACAUGCGGAAAAACAAAGGGGUUCGGUCUCCGACAGCUGCGAUGCUAGUUCCUAGGUUCCAGAAGAAUCUUAACCUCGGACCAAAACACAGCAUGGACAAGAGUGGCAAGAUUGUUUAUGCAGACACUGCGAUAUCGAGAUGGUUUGCUGUUGGCUUGGAUGGCAAGGAAACAGAGGGCCCAGCUCCCGUUCUUCUUCAGCGAGUACCCGUGGGGAUGAUUGAGCGGAUAAAUGGAGAGAAGCCUCUGGCGCUAGUGAGAAGUAGCCAUCUCAGUGAGGGGCAGAGGACUCGGGAUAGCUCAGACAAGCCAUGGACUUGCCUUAUUGAAAAGAUCCUGCCGGACUUAAUCCGCUCUUCUGAAAUCAUGAGGGGCCAAAUGGAAGCAGAAGGCUGGAACUCGAAGGAAGUAAAACCAAGACUCAUCGCGAGAGUCGGAAAAAUCCUUUUUAUCCCGAGGAGGCCUUCCAUUUGCGAGGAAGAUCUGAAUAAAGAUUCAAUCAACGAAGCCACCUUGAAACAGUUGAAUAGAAUCUUCUAUGCCAAUAUCCCUGCUUCGUAUAUGAAGAGCAUUGUGGACGAAGUUGUUCCGAAGAUUGGGGUCAAAUUCGAAGAUCUAAAGGAUGUAUACCAUGUAAAGUUGUCCGACAAAUCUCGACCUGAAGCAACUAUCUCAUGCAAAUGCAGUGUCAUGAAAGAUGAGAAUCGGCUUGAACUCUAUAAGCUUCAGUUAAACCAAAUCCGCCCCAUGGUGCAUGAUAUCUCAUGCAUUGAGAAAAAUCUCGACCUAAGGCUCAUGCUCUUCACCAAGAGAACUUUAACAUCUCUUCGUGAUGAUGAGGAGGAGAGCAUCAAGGCUUUGAUUGCUUCGGCAAUAUUAGACCCGACUUCGAUGGGAGGUCUGAGAUGGCCAUUUGGUAAGGCCUCAUCCCCUGGGGAUAGAUACAGAGUCAUUGGCGUGUGGCAUGCGGUUUCACGAGUUUAUGUGAGCCCUUCGAUGGGACUUAAGGUCAGAGAUGCAGAUUGGUUUGAUUUCAAGACAUCAGUCGGGGAAACCACGGGGGAGAUCACACUCGGGUUGAAGGGAAUCACUUCAGAGUUACUGGGAAAGAAGCUCGAGAUCAAUUCGGUAUCUGAUAUGCUCGAGAACAUAUUGAAGCUGCUGUGGGAGCAUUUCUUGCAUUUCCAAGCAGUUCACAAUGGGAAUACUGCUGCUAUGGAUAUUCCCAUGUUCUCGUGAUUGCUCUCUGCUCUCAACGUGUUAUGUUUCACAAGUAUCUAAUGCUUCGGUUGGUUAAGUUCAUGUAAACAUUUACGGUCGUGCUUUGCUAUCAGCCCAGUGUUACCCGUGCGUAAAUGCUCAUACCCGUGAAUGUAUGAGAAGAUGUUUAAGCAGUUACUAUUAAAACAGAAAAGAAAGCAAAUUAAAAUCACACAAAUUGAUGGAUAGCAAAUUGAAAGCCAAAUACCACUCCCCCAGGAAAUGAAGACCAGAGGUUAGCCGCCAACAAGCUUGAAGUGCAUCCGUUACUCAGCAAUGGUUGGUGUGUGGAUUGUAAAUUCGAUUACCAAUGAUAAUUGAGUCCUCGAAGGCAUGUUCAGGCGCUACUACCAAUAACAUCCCGAAGAUCUUCGCCUUCAAAUUCCUCCUUGACUGCCUCGAAUUCCGAUGAAGGUGGCAACGGCCACAUGUCCGUAGCGAAAGGGUUCGACGACAUCGUCGAUAACUCAUCAACUGGACAACCCCAUUACGUCGUACUCACCGACAUUGAGCAACUGGUUGGAGUUGUGGCGAAGAACCAGGUCGGGGCGAACGAGGCCAAUCUAUGGGGCACUAAUCGGCUCAGUAAUCCCGCAGGAUCGAGUAUAAGGGGAUUCCUCUAUAACUGCUGAGUUCGUUCCAAUUCCACUUUCUCUUAAGAUGAUAAACAUCGUUGAUAAUAUUUGAAAUGAAGUGAAAAAAUAUAACUUCGGUUACUAGCACAUUAUCAUAUGAAAUGAAUCAAUAUCGUCCAUAAUUUGGAUUAUAUGGUACUA
This is a non-coding RNA of Punica granatum (pomegranate), 2256 nucleotides long. The record is from RefSeq and is a predicted model, not a curated record. Lineage: Eukaryota; Viridiplantae; Streptophyta; Magnoliopsida; Myrtales; Lythraceae.